This 295-nucleotide unclassified non-coding RNA is filed under the name Hevea brasiliensis (rubber tree). The record is from RNAcentral. Lineage: Eukaryota; Viridiplantae; Streptophyta; Magnoliopsida; Malpighiales; Euphorbiaceae.
UUGAGGAGAAGAAUGAUGGUAAUUUUGGUGAAGCUGUCAAACCUGACACUCUUGUAUCUGAUAAACAAGAAAAGGUACUAGAGAAUCAAAACCCUAAUCAACAGGAUAUUGAACUAGAAGGAGAAAUCAAGGACAAAUCAGGUGCAACUGAAGAGAAGAGUGAGCAACUUACUGAGACAAACAAGACUAUAGAAGUCACUGAGAAUGGCAACCAUAGGAAUGGUGCUGAUGAGGUAAAGCCUUGAAGACGAUUUUACGUUUCUGGCUGUGGCCCCUUUAUUUGUCUUUCCGAAAG